CAGACCUCUGAUCAGGGAAGACUACCCGCUGAGUUUAAGCAUAUCACUAAGCGGAG
Molecule: ribosomal RNA, 56 nt
Filed under: Octoblepharum cocuiense
Lineage: Eukaryota; Viridiplantae; Streptophyta; Bryopsida; Dicranales; Calymperaceae
Description: partial 26S ribosomal RNA
Source: RNAcentral